Molecule: small RNA, 70 nt
Filed under: Bacillus infantis NRRL B-14911
Lineage: Bacteria; Bacillati; Bacillota; Bacilli; Caryophanales; Bacillaceae
Description: Listeria sRNA sbrA
Rfam family: Listeria sRNA sbrA
Source: Rfam by way of RNAcentral
GUACAGCUAGAUCCAUACCCCUAAACUCCCUAGAUAUGGCCGGUGUUCCGUUGAACACCGGCCGCUUUUU